RNAcentral lists this ribosomal RNA (468 nucleotides) under uncultured bacterium. Its description in RNAcentral is "partial 16S ribosomal RNA". It matches the Rfam family "Bacterial small subunit ribosomal RNA", at positions 28 to 507 of the family's 1533-position model. The record is from RNAcentral.
GACGAACGCUGGCGGCGUGCUUAACACAUGCAAGUCGAGCGGAAAGGCCCUGCGGUGUACUCGAGCUGCGAAGGGGAGAGUAAGACGAGCAUAACCGUCCCCUGCCCUUGGGAUAAGCCUCGGAACAGGGGGCUAAUACCGGAUACGACACAGCGUCCCAUCGGCACGGUGUGGAAAGUAAAUCUGCGGCGGUUGGGGAUGGGCUCGCGGCUUAUCAGCUUGUUGGUGGGGUCGUGGCUUACCAAGGCGUGGACGGGUAGCCGGCCUGAGAGGGUGACCGGCCACAUUGGGACUGAGACACGGCCCAGACUCCUACGGGAGGCAGCAGUGGGGAAUAUUGCACAAUGGGCGGAAGCCUGAUGCAGCGACGCCGCGUGCGGGAUGACGGCCUUCGGGUUGUAAACCUCUUUCAGCAGGGACGAAGCGUAAGUGACGGUACCUGGAAAAGAAGCGCCGGCUAACUACGUG